RNAcentral lists this transfer RNA (43 nucleotides) under Pseudoroegneria strigosa. RNAcentral describes it as "partial tRNA-Met". The record is from RNAcentral. Lineage: Eukaryota; Viridiplantae; Streptophyta; Magnoliopsida; Poales; Poaceae.
AGCGGAGUAGAGCAGUUUGGUAGCUCACGAGGCUCAUAACCUU